CAGGAUGAACGCUAGCUACAGGCUUAACACAUGCAAGUCGAGGGGCAGCAUGUGGUUGCUUGCAACCAAUGAUGGCGACCGGCGCACGGGUGAGUAACGCGUAUCCAACCUUCCCCUUAGUAGAGGAUAGCCCGGCGAAAGUCGGAUUAAUUACUCUAUGUUCUUCAAUGCGGACAUCUAAGUUGAAGCAAAGAUUUAUCGCUAAGGGAUGGGGAUGCGUCUGAUUAGGUUGCAGGCGGGGUAACGGCCCACCUGGCCUACGAUCAGUAGGGGUUCUGAGAGGAAGGUCCCCCACACUGGUACUGAGACACGGACCAGACUCCUACGGGAGGCAGCAGUGAGGAAUAUUGGUCAAUGGGCGCGAGCCUGAACCAGCCAAGUAGCGUGCAGGGUAACCGACUGACCCUAUGGGUUGUAAACUGCUUUUAUCAGGGAAUAAAGUGAGGCACGCGUGCCUUUUUGUAUGUACCUGAUGAAUAAGGACCGGCUAAUUCCGUGCCAGCAGCUGC
This 509-nucleotide ribosomal RNA is filed under the name uncultured bacterium. Its description in RNAcentral is "bacterial SSU rRNA". It matches the Rfam family "Bacterial small subunit ribosomal RNA", at positions 25 to 518 of the family's 1533-position model. The record is from RNAcentral.